UAUAUAAAGGAUGGAGUUCUCCGAGAGCAAUAUAAAUAGCAAUAUAUCUAGAAAAGGGUACGUAUGUGAUAUUGCUCUCGGAGAACUCCAUCCUUUAUAUA
Paramuricea clavata is the source of this 101-nucleotide non-coding RNA. NCBI's taxonomy places the organism in Eukaryota, Metazoa, Cnidaria, Anthozoa, Malacalcyonacea, Plexauridae. The record is from the annotation of a GenBank genome assembly.